CAGGAUGAACGCUGGCGGCGUGCUUAACACAUGCAAGUCGAACGAAGCAACUUAUUACGAUCCCUUCGGGGUGACGAUUGUUGACUGAGUGGCGGACGGGUGAGUAACGCGUGGGUAACCUACCUUGUACAGGGGGACAACAGUUGGAAACGACUGCUAAUACCGCAUAAGCGCACAGCUUCGCAUGAAGCAGUGUGAAAAGUUUUUCGGUACAAGAUGGACCCCGCGUCUGAUUAGCUAGUUGGUGAGGUAACGGCCCACCAAGGCGACGAUCAGUAGCCGACCUGAGAGGGUGACCGGCCACAUUGGGACUGAGACACGGCCCAAACUCCUACGGGAGGCAGCAGUGGGGAAUAUUGCACAAUGGGCGAAAGCCUGAUGCAGCCGACGCCGCGUGAGCGAAGAAGUAUUUCGGUAUGUAAAGCUCUAUCAGCAGGGAAGAUAAUGACGGUACCUGACUAAGAAGCACCGGCUAAAUACGUGCCAGCCGCGGC
RNAcentral lists this ribosomal RNA (494 nucleotides) under uncultured bacterium. Its description in RNAcentral is "bacterial SSU rRNA". It matches the Rfam family "Bacterial small subunit ribosomal RNA", at positions 25 to 518 of the family's 1533-position model. The record is from RNAcentral.